RNAcentral lists this ribosomal RNA (802 nucleotides) under uncultured bacterium. Its description in RNAcentral is "bacterial SSU rRNA". It matches the Rfam family "Bacterial small subunit ribosomal RNA", at positions 11 to 854 of the family's 1533-position model. The record is from RNAcentral.
GUUUGAUCCUGGCUCAGGAUGAACGCUGGCGGUAUGCUUAAUACAUGCAAGUCGUACGAGGGCUUUUAGCCCUAGUGGCGGACGGGUGAGUAACACGUGAGAAUCUGCCCUUAGGAGGAGGAUAACAGCUGGAAACGGUUGCUAAUACUCCAUAUGCCGAGAGGUGAAAGGAUUUAUCCACCUAAGGAGGAGCUCGCGUCUGAUUAGCUAGUUGGUGGGGUAAUGGCCUACCAAGGCGACGAUCAGUAGCUGGUUUGAGAGGAUGAUCAGCCACACUGGGACUGAGACACGGCCCAGACUCCUACGGGAGGCAGCAGUAGGGAAUUUUCCGCAAUGGGCGAAAGCCUGACGGAGCAAUACCGCGUGAGGGAUGACGGCCUGUGGGUUGUAAACCUCUUUUCUCAAGGAAGAAGUUCUGACGGUACUUGAGGAAUAAGCAUCGGCUAACUCUGUGCCAGCAGCCGCGGUAAUACAGAGGAUGCAAGCGUUAUCCGGAAUCACUGGGCAUAAAGCGUCUGUAGGUUGUUUAGUAAGUCUGCUGUUAAAGACUGGGGCUUAACCCCAGAAAAGCAGUGGAAACUGCUAGGCUCGAGUGUGGUAGAGGUAGAGGGAAUUCCUAGUGUAGCGGUGAAAUGCGUAGAUAUUAGGAAGAACACCAAUGGCGAAGGCACUCUACUGGGCCAUAACUGACACUGAGAGACGACAGCUAGGGGAGCAAACGGGAUUAGAUACCCCGGUAGUCCUAGCCGUAAACGAUGGAUACUAGAUGUUGCACGUAUUAACCCGUGCAGUAUCGUAGCUA